AUGGCAUCGGGUGGAGCUAUUACAAACAAGACACUUGAUGAUGCUUUUCUGCUGAUUGAGAACAUAGCCUUCCACCAACUUCAGUGGUACAAUGAGAAGCCCACCUCUGAUUUAGCUGCUUGCUUGCAACAAAUCACUUCAUCUCAGCAAGAUUCUCUUACACAAAAACCUGAACCUCUAUCUCAGUGUGACAAGAUUGAGCUUGCAUGGAUUAUCUUUGACGAUGAUGAUACCAUUCUAGUUGACACGCACGCUACAGAUCAUAUGGAUACUAGUGUUGGAGAUUCAGUUUUGCAUUGUGAUGAUUCUUCCAUGGAUGAGCCAGAGCUGCAGUUAGUUGCUUUUGAUAUUGAGGAGACACCUUUACUUGAUAUUGAUCAUGUGCUUCUAUAG
RNAcentral lists this ribosomal RNA (393 nucleotides) under Triticum aestivum (bread wheat). RNAcentral's name for it is "partial small subunit ribosomal RNA". The record is from RNAcentral. Lineage: Eukaryota; Viridiplantae; Streptophyta; Magnoliopsida; Poales; Poaceae.